Molecule: ribosomal RNA, 739 nt
Filed under: uncultured organism
Description: bacterial SSU rRNA
Rfam family: Bacterial small subunit ribosomal RNA
Source: RNAcentral
ACGACGGGUACCGGGACUGAGAGGUUGACCCGGCGCAUCGGGACUGAGACACUGCCCGGACUCCUACGGGGAAGGCUGCAGUAACCGAAUGUUCCGCAAUGGGCGAAAAGCCUGACGGAGCGACGCCGCGUGUGGGAGGAAGCCCUUCGGGGUGUAAACCACUGUCAGGUAUUACACAAGCAAGUUGGCGAAUAAGCCUUUCUGCGUUGAGGCGUCCCAGAGGAAGCCACGGCCUAACUUCGUGCCAGCAGCCGCGGUAAUACGAAGGUGGCGAGCGUUGUUCGGAAUCACUGCGCUUAAAGGGCACGCAGGCGGACUGUCAAGCGUCUUGUGAAUACCCACGGGCUUAACCGGGGAAUUGCUGGGCGAACUUGGCAGUCUUGAAGCAGGUAAGGGCGAGUGGAACCUCUUGGUGGAGCGGUGGAAAUGCGUAGAUAUACAGAGGAACCGCCGGAGGCGAUAGCGACUCGCUCCGCCUGACCUGACGCUGAGGUGCGAUAGCCAGGGUAGCGAACGCGAUUAGAUACCCCGGUAGUCCUGGCCAUUAACGAUGUCCACUUAGAUCGGUGAACUUCUGACCAGUGCGCCGGUCGAAACAAAAGCGUUAAGUGGACCGCCUGGGGAGUACGGUCGCAAGGCUAUAACUCAAACGAAUUGACGGGCGCUCACACAAGCGGUGGAGCAUGUUGCUUAAUUCGAUGCAACGCGAAGAACCUUAUCCUGGACUUGACAUGUUAGG